GCCAGAUAUACACACAUACAGCCAGAUACACACACAGUCAGAUACACACACACACACACAUACAGCCAGAUACACAUACACACAUACAGCCAGAUACACACACAUACAGCCAGAUACACACAGAGUCAGAUACACACACACACACACAUACAGCCAGAUACACAUACACACAUACAGCCAGAUACACACACAUACAGCCAGAUACACACACAUACAGCCAGAUACACACAC
This is a non-coding RNA of Pelobates cultripes (western spadefoot toad), 231 nucleotides long. The record is from the annotation of a GenBank genome assembly. NCBI's taxonomy places the organism in Eukaryota, Metazoa, Chordata, Amphibia, Anura, Pelobatidae.